CCCUUAGAUGUUCUGGGAUGCACGCGCGUUACACUGAUUCGUUCAACGAGUUUAUGACCUUGCCUGAUGAGGUGGGGGAAUCUUUUCAAAUCGCAUCUUGAUGGGGAUAGAGUAUUGUAACUGUUAGUCUUCAACGAGGAAUUCCUAGUAAGUACGUGUCAUCAGCUCGUACUGAUUAUGUCCCUGCCCUUUGUACACACCGCCCGUCGCUCCUACCGAUUGAGUGCUCAGGUGAAUAGUAUGGACUGCAUCAGUGUUCGGUCUCCGAAUGUUGACGCGAGAAAUUCUGUGAAUCUUAUUGCUUAGAGGAAGGAGAAGUCGUAACA
Molecule: ribosomal RNA, 326 nt
Filed under: uncultured eukaryote
Lineage: Eukaryota
Description: partial 18S ribosomal RNA
Rfam family: Eukaryotic small subunit ribosomal RNA
Source: RNAcentral